RNAcentral lists this unclassified non-coding RNA (260 nucleotides) under Hevea brasiliensis (rubber tree). Lineage: Eukaryota; Viridiplantae; Streptophyta; Magnoliopsida; Malpighiales; Euphorbiaceae. The record is from RNAcentral.
GCAACAGAUGUUGCACACAGAGCUGUUAGUUCAUUAGAAGGUGCAGGAGUCUUUGCUGUUGAGUUGUUUCUGACAGAGGAUGGUCAGAUUUUACUAAAUGAAGUAGCUCCGAGACCUCACAAUAGUGGGCAUCACACCAUUGAGGCUUGCUUCACUUCACAAUAUGAGCAGCAUUUGCGGGCUGUCGUUGGCCUUCCACUUGGUGAUCCAUCAAUGAAAACUCCUGCUGCAGUCAUGUAUAACAUAUUGGGGGAAGACGA